This 48-nucleotide non-coding RNA is filed under the name Tsukamurella sp. 1534. Its description in RNAcentral is "L31-Actinobacteria ribosomal protein leader". It matches the Rfam family "L31-Actinobacteria ribosomal protein leader". Lineage: Bacteria; Bacillati; Actinomycetota; Actinomycetes; Mycobacteriales; Tsukamurellaceae. The record is from RNAcentral.
UGGGUUCCGGUUCACGGCUCUGGCGAGGUCAGAGGCGACCCGGCGACC